This 18-nucleotide small nuclear RNA is filed under the name Arabidopsis thaliana (thale cress). RNAcentral describes it as "snRNA_10233". Lineage: Eukaryota; Viridiplantae; Streptophyta; Magnoliopsida; Brassicales; Brassicaceae. The record is from RNAcentral.
CUGGAAUAUGUCCAAUGU